UUGACACUGGGAGAAAUUUAUGAGCGGAAGGUUGACUUUGAUAAUUUAUACUCUCUGAAGAUAGACACCAACAUACUAAAUAUACAAUAAAAUAAAAUGCUGGUUCAAAAUAUACAAAAUAUUAUAAACUAAAAUGCUGGUUCAAGAAAAUACACACUAAUUAUACAUUAAAGUCAUGUUCUAAAACUCGGCCGUCUAACCAAUUCCAUGGUAAAAAAACGGUUGAUAGAAGGUGAGUUU
Molecule: long non-coding RNA, 240 nt
Filed under: Brassica napus (rape)
Lineage: Eukaryota; Viridiplantae; Streptophyta; Magnoliopsida; Brassicales; Brassicaceae
Description: long non-coding RNA (BNAP_LNC001261)
Source: RNAcentral